AACGCUAGCUACAGGCUUAACACAUGCAAGUCGAGGGGAAACGAUAUUGGAAGCUUGCUUCCGAUAGGCGUCGACCGGCGCACGGGUGAGUAACGCGUAUCCAACCUGCCCAUCACUUGGGAAUAACCUUGCGAAAGUAAGACUAAUGCCCAAUGACAUUUAUAGAAGGCAUCUGAAAUGAAUUAAAGAUUUAUCGGUGAUGGAUGGGGAUGCGUCUGAUUAGCUUGUUGGCGGGGUAACGGCUCACCAAGACUUCGAUGGAUAGGGGUUCUGAGAGGAAGGUCCCCCACAUUGGAACUGAGACACGGUCCAAACUCCUACGGGAGGCAGCAGUGAGGAAUAUUGGUCAAUGGGCGAGAGCCUGAACCAGCCAAGUAGCGUGAAGGAUGACUGCCCUAUGGGUUGUAAACUUCUUUUAUAUAGGAAUAAAGUGAGCCACGUGUGGCUUUUUGUAUGUACUAUAUGAAUAAGGAUCGGCUAACUCCGUGCCAGCAGCCGCGGUAAUACGGAGGAUCCAAGCGUUAUCCGGAUUUAUUGGGUUUAAAGGGAGCGUAGGCGGAAGCUUAAGUCAGUCUGUGAAAGUUUGCGGCUCAACCGUAAAAUUGCAGUUGAUACUGGGUUUCUUGAGUACAGUAGAGGUAAGCGGAAUUCGUGGUGUAGCGGUGAAAUGCUUAGAUAUCACGAAGAACUCCGAUUG
This 697-nucleotide ribosomal RNA is filed under the name uncultured bacterium. RNAcentral's name for it is "bacterial SSU rRNA". It matches the Rfam family "Bacterial small subunit ribosomal RNA", at positions 32 to 715 of the family's 1533-position model. The record is from RNAcentral.